RNAcentral lists this ribosomal RNA (1195 nucleotides) under uncultured eukaryote. RNAcentral describes it as "SSU rRNA". It matches the Rfam family "Eukaryotic small subunit ribosomal RNA", at positions 577 to 1804 of the family's 1831-position model. The record is from RNAcentral.
CGGUAAUUCCAGCUCCAACAGUGUAUAUUAAUACUGCUGCGGUUGAAACGUUCGUAGUUGGGAAUUUGUUGUCUAUUAUUGGUCUAUCCUAGUGGUCAGUACUGUAUAUGAAUGCAGCAUUGUCUUGAUUAUUUUUCUACACUUGACUGUGUAUUAUAUUGAAUCAAUCCGUAUACUUUGAAGAAAUGAGAGUGUUUCAAGCAAUUUUAUUCAGGGAUAUAUUAGCAUGGAAUAACACAUUACGACUUCAAUUUGUGUCUAUUGGUUGCCGAGAUGGGGUAAUAAAGAGGAGGAUAAUUGGUGGCAUAUAUAUUGCACAGUCAGAAGUGAAAUUCUUGGAUUUUUGCAAGAUAACCAAUUGCGAAAACAUUUGUCAAGAGUGUUUUUAUUGAUCAAGAACGAAAGUUAAGGGAUCGAAGACGAUCAGAUACCGUUGUAGUCUUAACCGUAAACUAUGUCGCCUAGAAAUUGGCGGGUAUAUAGUAUCAUCCCGUCAGCAACUUAAGAGAAAUUACAGUUUUUGGAUUCCGGGGGGAGUAUGAUCACAAGAUUGAAACUUAAAGGAAUUGACGGAAAGGCACCACCAGGAGUGGAGCGUGCGGCUUAAUUCGACUCAACACUGGAAAAUUUAUCAGGUCCGAACAUAGAAAUGAUUGACAGAUUGGCUGGCUUUUCUUAAUUCUGUGGGUGGUGGUGCAUGGCCGUUCUUAGUUGGUGGAGUGAUUUGUCUGGUUAAUUUCGAUAACGACCGAGAUCUUGACCUACUAAAUAGAUGCAGGAUGUAUAAACAAUCGUGUGAACUUCUUAGAGGAAACAUUUGUGUAAAGUAAAAGGAAGAUUAAGGUAAUAACAGGUCUGUGAUGCCCUUAGAUGUCUUGAGCUGCACGCGCGCUACACUGAAGCACUUCACAAGGAAUUUAUCUGAUUUGAAAAAAGUGGGAAAUCUUAUCCCUGUGCAUCGUGAUGGGGCUUGUUUAUUGUAAUUAUUGAAUAUUAACGAGGAAUCCCUAGUAAGUGUAUAUCAUCAAUCUGUUCUGAUUAAGUCCCUGCCCUUUGUACACACCGCCCGUCGCUCCUACCGAUCGAGUGAUCCGGUGAACACCUAAGACAUUGAGAAGCAAUCGAAAAAUUACACUCAUAGAAAUGCGAGUGAGUCUUAUCACUUAGAGGAAGGAGAAGUCGUAACAAGGUAACC